Molecule: RNA transcript, 1168 nt
Organism: Brassica rapa (field mustard)
Lineage: Eukaryota; Viridiplantae; Streptophyta; Magnoliopsida; Brassicales; Brassicaceae
Gene name: monocopper oxidase-like protein SKS1
Source: RefSeq, a predicted model, not a curated record
UCUGAGAGCGUUGUUUCAUCUUCUUCCUUAAAAUCUGAAAAGCUACCGGUUACUUUUCAUCUACUUAAAGUCCUUAUUAAUCCAUCAAAUGAGAGCUUCUCCCAUGAAAGGCGGUGGAACUGCGACUAUAAAAAUAAUGGUCAAGGACGUACAGUAGUGUGUUCGAUCCACGAGAGGCUGAAACAUGGAGUCAUUCUAUUAUAAAACUGCAAAGUCUCUUACAUCAUAGAUUCCUCUCUCGGUGUUCCUCAACGGGUUUUGGUUUUGUUCCUUACUUUACUUUCUCUCUGGAAGUUGGUGUCUUAAUAGCGUUCUCACAGCCUUCUCGCUGUCAAUCGAAAGAUGUUCACUGUCUCUUGGAUUUUGGACAGUGAUGAGUUUUGUUCUAUUUCGGUGUAACUUCGAACCCGAGGCUGAUAAUUUCUAAAGGAGGUCGCUUUUGUUGAUCUAAAACUCAUUACCAUAGAAUCUCAAGAUUGCGACUUUACAUGGAUUUACGUGUUGUUAGGUGAUAGCCGUCAAUGGGCAGUUUCCAGGACCUUUGUUUAAUGCUACGACCAACUAUAAUGUUGUUGUUAGAGUCUAAAUUGAAUGAGCCUCUUCUUUUGACUUGGUGAGUCCAGGAGCUUUCUUUCUAUACCAACUGACCAGUUGUGACUAAAAUGCCUUGGCCACCUGGCAUCCAAAUGCGGCGUAACUUGUGGCAAGACGGUCUUCUUGGCACACACUUCCCUAUUCCUCUGAGAUGGAACUUUACUUACCAGUUUCAGGUGGAAGAUCAAAUUGGAAGCCUAACGGCGAAAUGGUACACUCAAUACCAUAAGGAGAAUACAUGAUUAUGGGAAAGAACUUGGGAUGCCGGAUGGAGUCUCAUCAUUGGAAAGGGUCCUUACAAGUACAACAACAGUAGUGUACCUGUUUGACUAAGAGUUUUUCUCACUUUGUCUCAUGAGAUGGAUCUCUUCUAAUGUGACUUUCCCUGUGGGGAAACCCUUCAGAGCUUGAAGCUCGCGUUGUUUACUUUCUCUACAAUUCUAGAUUUUAGUACAACUUUAUUGUAACAAUAAUUUUGUGUCCUCUAGAUUCAUAUAAAUUACUUUCUGCUAAUUUUCUUUUCUCUGUAGUUUGAACCAUAUAAGUUAAUAGUAAAUGCGUGCACUUGCAAGAA